This 73-nucleotide transfer RNA is filed under the name Stegodyphus mimosarum. It matches the Rfam family "tRNA". Rfam says of the family: Transfer RNA (tRNA) molecules are approximately 80 nucleotides in length. Their secondary structure includes four short double-helical elements and three loops (D, anti-codon, and T loops). Further hydrogen bonds mediate the characteristic L-shaped molecular structure. tRNAs have two regions of fundamental functional importance: the anti-codon, which is responsible for specific mRNA codon recognition, and the 3' end, to which the tRNAs corresponding amino acid is attached (by aminoacyl-tRNA synthetases). tRNAs cope with the degeneracy of the genetic code in two manners: having more than one tRNA (with a specific anti-codon) for a particular amino acid; and 'wobble' base-pairing, i.e. permitting non-standard base-pairing at the 3rd anti-codon position. Lineage: Eukaryota; Metazoa; Arthropoda; Arachnida; Araneae; Eresidae. The record is from Rfam by way of RNAcentral.
GCCUUUGUGGUGUAGUGGUCAGCACGCUCGACGUGUAACCGAGAGGUCCGUGGUUCGAUUCUCGGCGAAGGCG